Long non-coding RNA from Tachysurus fulvidraco (yellow catfish), 1987 nucleotides. RefSeq lists it as uncharacterized. Lineage: Eukaryota; Metazoa; Chordata; Actinopteri; Siluriformes; Bagridae. The transcript has 3 exons. The record is from RefSeq and is a predicted model, not a curated record.
AUAAUGAAAUGAAACUUAUGGUAAAGGUUGUGGGUUGUGAAAUAAACUUCCCCUUCUAUAUAACUGAGCAUAACCAUAAAAACCAGGCUUUGUUUCAGAACGUUGCUCUUUAACUUCAUCUGCUUCUUCUUCAGAUGCUUUUCUCCAAAGCCAUGUCACUGAAUUGUUAUCAGUGUUUGCUGUCACUAACUGGCGCGUGUACCAAUGAACAGAUAACCUGUUCAGAUCAGUGUGCCUCUUCAACUAUGUCUGUUUACACGGUUCCCCUGACAAAAAAGUCAUGUUGUCAAAUGUCCCUCCUUUUAUUAACGAAGAGGCGAUUCUGAAAGAGUUUUCUCGGUACGAGCAACCCGUCUCCCCCAUGAAGAAAAUCCCCCUCGGCUGUAAGCCCCCACUAGUUAAGCACUUGGUUUCUUUCAGGAGAUUGGCGUUUAUGGUUUUAAAUGAAGGAGUUUUUUCCCAGACCGAUAUAAAAUGUUUUAAAUGUGGUCAGAUUGGACAUCUUGUCCGCGCCUGUCCUGAAAGACAGCGUGAUCCCGGUGUCUCCAAAUGACCGGGGCAGAACGCAGCUGAGCCUGCUGGAGCCGUUCCCCCUGCGGACACAGCUUGGCCUGCUGCUGAAAGCCCUGCAACUGCUUCUGAACCAUGGCCUAGGAAGCAUGAGCCCAAGUUCAGACUGCAGACCAGAGCUCCACUAGUGACGUACCCACCGGGAAAAUCCCUGCUCGGCUGAAUCAGACCGGGAGAAGCCCUGCUCGGCUGAACCGGAACGGGAGAAGCCCUGCAGGGCUAAACCGUACCAGGAGAAGCCCUGCUCGACUGAACCGGGCCGGGAGAACGGCUGUGAAUCUGAAAAAGUCACAGUGGACUCUGAAGUAGUGCUGGAGCUGCCAGUGCUGGAGCUGCCUGUGCUGGCAGAGUCAGACACGGUGAAAUAGGAAGGCUGGCACGGACUGGUCCAGCUGUCCAGCAGAGCUGCAGCAUUCUGCCUACAGUUCAUCCAGAGACUCCUCACUGGACCCAGAGACCUACAGUAGUAUGGAGAGCAGCAGCCAGUGGAAUAUUACGCACAGUUGAAGGACAGGGGCUAGACAGAGCCCUGUUUUUAAUGGACACAAAAAUGCUGGACAUCUCUGGAUUACCAGUGUUUUACUGUGGACUUUUUAAAAUCUGGAACAUUAAAAAAAAAACAGUUCAAAGGCCAUCAAACAUUACACUGGUUUCUGGAGGAGCCUCUGGUGUACAGCAGGCGACUGGACAUCUCCAGUGUGACCAUUCCUGCACUGUCCAGAACUCUAACCUCCUCGGGCAUUGUGACGCUCCGGGAGCUCGUGAACAUCACAGGGUCUGACUUGUCGAGGGCAGAGGACCUGACAUUGCAUAUGAGAUUGAGGUCCCUGCGCAUUGUCAAUCAGCUCCUACACCACUGGAGAUCUGCACUAACAUCAGAGGAGCAUGUUCAGCUGCUGGAUUAUCAUCACACAGAGGCUGGUCCUGCAGAGGAUGAACCCUUUCCCCAGAUGAACAUGGCUCCUUACCUCGACGGGUGUGAGGGCCCCCUCCUGGAGUGCCAGGUGAAUGAGAGAUGGACUUUGGGUCAGUGACGGGGAAGCUGCAGAGUACAGCGUCUGAGUUAAAGUUUUAAAUAAGAAAAAGCCGAGUGGGAGGGUAGACACCCCAUGGAGAAGUGUUUUGGGUUUCAAUGCUGAUAUUAAACCAGAGUGGAGAGCACUGUACAAACCACCAUUGCCAAAAAGAGCUGCCGACCUUCAGUGGAGGAUUUUACAUGGUAUUAUCUCUGUGAACUCUUAUUUCUGUUUUAAACCCUGAUAUUGCACAUGACUGUCCUUUUUGUUCACAGAGAGAAACAGUUUUUCAUGCUUUUAUUCACUGCUCCAGGUUGCAGUCACUGCUUGUGUUUUUACAGAGCAUUUUAAGGUUGUUUUAUGUUGAAUUUACUGUUCCUUGUUUUUUUGGUUUUAAAUAC